RNAcentral lists this ribosomal RNA (843 nucleotides) under Hyalinobatrachium sp. n. JMG-2019. RNAcentral describes it as "partial large subunit ribosomal RNA". It matches the Rfam family "Bacterial large subunit ribosomal RNA", at positions 1243 to 2588 of the family's 2925-position model. The record is from RNAcentral. Lineage: Eukaryota; Metazoa; Chordata; Amphibia; Anura; Centrolenidae.
AUCCCAUCAUCACCAAAGAACCCUUAAACAAUACUGAACAAUUCUAUACAAUUAUAGAAGAUUUUAUGUUAAAACUAGUAACAAGAAGGAGAACUUCUCCUACAAUGCAAGUAUAAAUCAGAUAGGACACCCCCCUGAUAAUUAACGUCCAUGAACAAAAAUAGCAACCAAACAAGAAAACCCUACUAAACCAUGCGUUAACCUAACACUAGAGCAUUUCAAGAAAGAUUAAAAGAAAAAGAAGGAAUUCGGCAAACAUUAACCUCGCCUGUUUACCAAAAACAUCGCCUCUUGAAUAAAUAUAAGAGGUCCAGCCUGCCCAGUGACCAUGUUCAACGGCCGCGGUAUCCUAACCGUGCGAAGGUAGCGUAAUCACUUGUUCUUUAAAUAAGGACUAGUAUGAACGGCACCACGAAGGUUAUACUGUCUCCUCUUUCUAAUCAGUGAAACUAAUUUCCCCGUGAAGAAGCGAGGAUAAUAAUAUAAGACGAGAAGACCCUAUGGAGCUUCAAACUACAAGGCACUUGCUUAAACAUAACUAAAUUUCAGAAAACCUAUCCCAUCUCAGCAAGAUGACCUUUAGUUUUAGGUUGGGGUGACCGCGGAGAAAAAAACAACCUCCACAUUGAAAGGAGACCACUCCUUAGCCAAGAGCCACACCUCUACGCACCAAUAAAAAGACAUCAAUUGACCCAAUAUUUUGAUCAACGAACCAAGUUACCCUAGGGAUAACAGCGCAAUCCACUUCAAGAGCCCCUAUCGACAAGUGGGUUUACGACCUCGAUGUUGGAUCAGGGUACCCCGGUGGUGCAGCCGCUACCAAAGGUUCGUUUGUUCAACGAU